This 489-nucleotide ribosomal RNA is filed under the name uncultured bacterium. RNAcentral's name for it is "partial 16S ribosomal RNA". It matches the Rfam family "Bacterial small subunit ribosomal RNA", at positions 28 to 507 of the family's 1533-position model. The record is from RNAcentral.
GACGAACGCUGGCGGCGUGCUUAACACAUGCAAGUCGAACGGUGAAGGGACCAGCUUGCUGGUUCUGGAUGAGUGGCGAACGGGUGAGUAACACGUGAGUAACCUGCCCCCUUCUUCUGGAUAACCGCAUGAAAGUGUGGCUAAUACGGGAUAUUCUGGGUCUGUCGCAUGGCGGGCCCGGGAAAGAUAUUGCUUCGGUGGGGGAUGGGCUCGCGGCCUAUCAGCUUGUUGGUGGGGUGAUGGCCUACCAAGGCGGUGACGGGUAGCCGGCCUGAGAGGGUGGACGGUCACACUGGGACUGAGACACGGCCCAGACUCCUACGGGAGGCAGCAGUAGGGAAUAUUGCACAAUGGGCGCAAGCCUGAUGCAGCGACGCCGCGUGAGGGAUGGAGGCCUUCGGGUUGUAAACCUCUUUCGCCAGUGAAGCAGGCCUGCUCCUUGUGGGUGGGUUGACGGUAGCUGGAUAAGAAGCGCCGGCUAACUACGUG